AUACUUACCCGGCAGGGGAAAUACCAUGAUCAGGAAGGUGCUUUUCCCAGGGCGAGGCUUAUCCAUUGCACUCUGGAUGUGUUGACCCCUGCAAUUUCCCCAAAUGUGGGAAACUCAACUGCAUAAUUUGUGGUGGUGGGGGGGGACUGCAUUCAUGCUUUCCCCUG
Small nuclear RNA from Otolemur garnettii (small-eared galago), 167 nucleotides. Its record names the gene U1. It matches the Rfam family "U1 spliceosomal RNA". Rfam says of the family: U1 is a small nuclear RNA (snRNA) component of the spliceosome (involved in pre-mRNA splicing). The record is from Ensembl. NCBI's taxonomy places the organism in Eukaryota, Metazoa, Chordata, Mammalia, Primates, Galagidae.